UGGUUAUCAAUGUUGAUGACAUCAUUUC
Molecule: non-coding RNA, 28 nt
Filed under: Rattus norvegicus (Norway rat)
Lineage: Eukaryota; Metazoa; Chordata; Mammalia; Rodentia; Muridae
Source: RNAcentral